UAGACGUGGGCGCAGCCUGACCGCCUGCCGCGUGAGUGAAGAAGGCCUUCGGGUUGUAAAGCUCUUUCGGUGGGGACGAAACGGUUCGUGCUAAUACCACGGACUAAUGACGGUACCCGAAGAAGAAGCACCGGCUAACUACGUGCCAGCAGCCGCGGUAAUACGUAGGGUGCAGGCGUUAAUCGGAAUUACUGGGCGUAAAGCGUGCGCAGGCGGUUUGUUAAGACAGAUGUGAAAUCCCCGGGCUUGACCUGGGAACUGCGUUUGUAACUGGCAAGCUAGAGUGUGGCAGAGGGGGGUGGAAUUCCAAGUGUAGCAGUGAAAUGCGUAGAUAUUUGGAGGAACACCGAUGGCGAAGGCAGCCCCCUGGGCUAACACUGACGCUCAUGCACGAAA
Molecule: ribosomal RNA, 396 nt
Filed under: uncultured bacterium
Lineage: Bacteria
Description: bacterial SSU rRNA
Rfam family: Bacterial small subunit ribosomal RNA
Source: RNAcentral